RNAcentral lists this microRNA precursor (249 nucleotides) under Paramuricea clavata. Lineage: Eukaryota; Metazoa; Cnidaria; Anthozoa; Malacalcyonacea; Plexauridae. The record is from RNAcentral.
GACGUCGAUAUUCGACCACAUAAACACGAUCAACUUUGGUGUUUAUGACGUCGAUAUUCGGCAUCAUAAACUCGAUCAACUUUCGUGUUUAUGACGUCGAUAUUCGACGACAUAAAUACGAUCAACUUUGGUGUUGAUGACGUCGAUAUUCGACGACAUAAACACGAUCAGCUGUGCUGUUUAUGACUUCGAUAUUUGACGACAUAAACACGAUCAACUUUGGUGUUUAUGACGUCGAUAUUCGACGUC